This is an RNA transcript of Chrysemys picta bellii (western painted turtle), 3196 nucleotides long. RefSeq lists it as uncharacterized. The record is from RefSeq and is a predicted model, not a curated record. NCBI's taxonomy places the organism in Eukaryota, Metazoa, Chordata, Testudines, Emydidae.
CAAUCCUUGGAUGGCCAGAGCUGCAGAACUGACCAGCCAGCAAGCUCGGUUGAAGGGACACUUGAGGUGAUAGCUAACAUAGCAGAACAAAUUUCAAACAUUUUCACAUUUUCAUUGCUUUUCCUAUGUAGAAACAGUUAAAUGAGGCUCCAGAAGCCGAAAAUCAGGAAUGAAAGUUUUCAGAUACUGCUAGUUCCUGAUGUAAAGAGAUCUGGGUGAGCUCCCACAGGCAACUGCUGGUAAUGGGGGAAACACAGUCAUCUAUUUACUAAGUGCCUGAUUCAAAGUUCAUGAAUGGGAAUUGUUCCCUUGGCUGCAGUGUGCCCCUAAAAACAACAUUUAAAAAUGGAAUUUCAGUAGUGGGCAGGCCUGAAGUUCUCGUGUUGGGGCAGGGUCCUGCUGGCAUUGUACCAAAAUGUUACCAGCUAGUGCAGGCCUCCUCGGCAGGAUGAAUUACAGAAUUUUGAGCCAGUGCCUGAUGCUGCUACUGGUUUUCCACUGGUCUCCAAAAAUAGCAGAAGCCCAAGAACAUAGAACCGUUGGUACGGGCUCUUCAGUGCUGUUGACUGCAUUGCCCAUCAAUGACCAAACAGUCAUAAAACAUAUACUGUGGGAAUGCAUAAGUAGUGCCCAAACUCCCAGUAUUGUGGAUUACUAUGGAACUGGAACAGAACCUAUUAUCUCUAAUUCCUAUAAAGACAGAAUCAUUUUCUAUUCAUCCAAUGGCUCCCUCUUGUUGAAAAACGUACAAGAGACAGACAGCGGGACCUACAGAGCUACCGUCAAUUUGAACAAAAUUGAAGCCAGGCAAACUACACUGCUAGUCUUAGAGCCUAUGUCCAAAGCUCAGAUCCAGAUAAAUUCUACUGUGGCUGGUUCAUCCAUUGAAUUAUCCUGCAAGGUGCUGGUUGGCAAAGUGCAAGCUAUUGACUGGAAGAAAGAUGGGAAGCCCCUACCCAGGAACAGAUGUUACCAGGUCUCUGAAAACUUCAGUCUUUUGUACAUACCAGAAGUGCAGAAAUCAGAUUGUGGAUCCUUUUCCUGCAAUGCCAGCAAUGAUAUAAGCUGGCAGGAAACCUCAGUGAAUUUGACCAUUGAAGGUAUCAUGCCUUCACUAAAGCAUGCACUGAAAAUUUCUACUGUUGCUCUUGCUAUUGCAAUAACAUUGGCUGCUGGAUCUGGAUUGGGCUUCAUUAUCUUGUGCUGUCAAUCGGAAAAGAAAAAAAUUACGGGAGAGCUGUGGAGAUGGCUUAUCGUAUUCAUCCAUGGGCUGGUGUGUGUCUCGGCCAUCCUGAUGUUCACUGCUGCUGUCUUCUGGAUAUGGGAAGAAGGUCUCUCCACAGCCCUUGUAUUGUAUAUGAUCUUCCUCACGUGGGUGAUCGUGGUAACGCUUCUCAUAAGUGUGGUCUUGGCAAUUUGUCCCCAACACCUUGAGAUGUUUAAAAAGAAAACAAUGUACCGUGUCAUUCUGGAUACUGCAGCUCUUGGGGGAGUGAUUCUAGUUGUGUUGUUUGCCAUCUUCCUUACACAGAACAUCCAGCACCUCCAAAGAAAAGGCUGCUCACCAUUUUUUGACAACACAGCUGCCAUCCUUAUCACUGCUGCAAUUUCUCUCCUUAUUCUUCUAGCGCCCUUUGUGUGGUAUCACAGGGAAAAAAAAAGCCAAGAAAAGUAUCAGCAAGAAAGAAAAGUAAGGAUGCAAUGUCCCAGAAAACCUUUUCAUUGGACUUGAAAAGCUGAGAAUUUCUGGAAGCAAAAUGUAAUGAAAUAAGAUGGACUGUAGCCAGGACGGUGGGAUCAGCUCUGCUGCUUUUCCAGUGGCACUCUUUCCAUUUUUCAUGACCUGGCAGAGAGGAGUUGUGAAUUUUGCAUCUGCUCUGGAUGACAAUGCAUCUAGGAACACAAUGCCUCCAACACCAUGCUUGGCCAUCAGUGCAGUUCUGACAUCAGGCUAGAUUGUAGAGGUGGCAAUACUCGAUUUCUUGCACAGCCCCCUGCAACUCAGCAAUAGCCUCUUUGUCUUGGAAGGAAUUGUAUCCCAUACAGAAACACCAAUGCUAGUUCUGGCAGCACCUGUUUUCUUCCUGGAGCUGCUCUCAUCACGAGCUCUCGUUCCCUCUGCUGUCUGACGAGGUGUCGUGCCUAAGCUCCUGGAAGAUGUCCCUUUGUUGUCCAGACCUGGAGCUAUGACAGUCCUUGGAUGGCCAGAGCUGCAGAACUGACGAGCCAGCAAGCACGGUUAAAGGGACACUUGAGGUGAUGGCUAACACAGCUGAACAAAUUUCAAACAUUUUUACAUUUUCAUUGCUUUCCUAUGUAGAUACCGUUAAAUGAGGCUCCAGAAGCCGAAAGCCAGGAAUGAAAGGUAUGUAUCCUCUAGGUCAGUGGUUCUCAGGUGGGAUCAUGAGGCAGUAUUAAGAGUAUCAGAACUUAGGAUACAACAUGGUUUCUGCUUAAAACUGAAUUUUUAGUCCUCCCUACAAACAAAGAUACAAUGAUCUGCUUGAGAUUUGAAAUGCUCGUUCAAGACCCAGGGUAGAGUUUAUAAUACAAAUUUGGAGUCUCAUAGCCAUGUGUUUGUGACAUACAGCCACCCUCAAAACAGAACCCAUGAAAAUAAGGUCAUUUUUUGUGUGUAAGAGAUAAGGAUUGAUCAUGAGACAAGAGAUACCUGGAGGGAAGAUGAUCUCUUCUCCCCCUGCUUCCCCUCUCUCCCCCGAACACUUUGUUCUAGAAGAAAGUCACUUACAGAACAAUGGGGGCUGCGGGAAGCGGCGCAGGCUGAGGGAUGUGCUGGCCACCACUUCCCGCAGCCCCCAUUGACCUGGAAUGGUGACCCGCGGUCAGUGGGAACGAUUGGCCGAAUCUGCAGAUGCUGCAGGUAAACAAACCAUCCCAGCUCGCCAGUGGAUUUCCCUGAUGGGCCGUGUUCCAAAGAUUGCUGUAGACUGGUUGGCCGGGGCUCGUUCACCUACAGGGCGGCGGGGAGCCAGACUGCCUCACUACUUUGAUCAGGUGUGUCAGGGAAUUAGCUCGGCUGUGCGGUAAACAGUCAGCAGCUCCGGCCCUCUGGCAGGGGCUGAGCAAACAGUUCAAUAUUAGCAAGCCCAGGCCCUGGGUCAGGACGGGGCAACAAACAAACAGUCAGAACAGCAAACCCCAGGCUCCUGGCUCUGAGCAGCCAGGGAGAGGGGGA